UACAACGGGGUGGCGACACGGUGACGUGGGGCGGAUCCCUGAAAACCGGUCUCAGUUCGGAUCGCAGUCUGCAACUCGACUGCGUGAAGGUGGAGUCGCUAGUAAUCGCGGAUCAGCAACGCCGCGGUGAAUGCGUUCCCGGGCCUUGUACACACCGCCCGUCAAGUCAUGAAAGUGGGCAGCACCCGAAGACGGUGGCCUAACCCUUGUGGGGGGAGCCGUCUAAGGUGAGGCUCGUGAUUGGGACUAAGUCGUAACAAGGUAGC
This 266-nucleotide ribosomal RNA is filed under the name uncultured bacterium. RNAcentral describes it as "partial 16S ribosomal RNA". It matches the Rfam family "Bacterial small subunit ribosomal RNA", at positions 1238 to 1500 of the family's 1533-position model. The record is from RNAcentral.